CUGGAGUGCAGUGGCACAAUCACAGCUCACUGCAGCCUUGACCUCCUAAGAACAAGUGAUCCUCCCACCUCAGCCUCUCGGGACCACAGCUGAGCACCACCAGCUGGGACCACAGCUGGGCACCACCACACCCUGCUAAUUCUUCAUUUUUUUUGUAGAGAUGGAGUUUCCCUAUGUUGUCCAGGCUGCUCUCAAACUCCUGGGCUCAAGCCAUCCUCCCGCCGUGGCCUCCCAAAGUGCUGGGACCACAGGCACGAGCCACCACAACCCACUCAGUGUCGUCUCUGGACCCCUCUUUCUCCAUCAUGGUCCAAUCCAGUCACCAAGACUUGUCGGUUCUCUUAAUCUCUUGAAUCCCUCCUGCUCUCCUGCUCUCCAGCCCCACCAGCACCUCGGAGGCCGGCCUUUCUCUUCUCAUCUGGGUUACUUCUGGAGCCUCCUCUGGAAUAAGGGGAAAAUAGUGAAACUCUAGAGAAGGGCGCUCUUUGCAGACCUGGAAAGGUUCUUCCUUGCAAAUGAACGGCAUGGAGUUACCUCAAAACCAGGGAGAGGGAAAACCAAUGUACGUGACAUGGAAACCAGGGUAAAAAAACUGCCUCAAACCUACCAACAAGUGAAAGGAAAAAUCUACAAAACUCAAAAGCCCGUCUUGGUCAUUCUACACAAUCUUUAUUCUGUGAGAGAAAGCAGUGGCCCCCACUCAGGAUAUCAAAGACUGAGGUCCCACGUUAUCUCCAGGUUUUACUCAAAGAACUCUGCAUAUUUGGGUAUUAUUUUUAUCUCUCCCUUUCGUUUAUUGUCUCAGGGUAAACACUUGUGAUUCAUAAAUGCCUUAAGAGUGAAUCAGUAUUCUCCUGUUCAAACCAAUAGAGGCCACAUCAAACAAUAACCUACAAGGUAUUAUUAAUCAUUAAAUAGGCAUAUAUAUGAGCACUCAGGCAAGGGAGCCAUUUUUCUUCUCUUGUUUGUUUGUUUGAAGGAAAUUAACAAAGUACAAACCUUGAUUUUGACCUAUUCAGAAAAAAAGCAUUUUUUUAACCAUUAAAAACUUAGUUAAAUUCAAGGCUAAAAGGGCAAAUAUUUCACGUGGGAAAGUGCUCCUUCGUUCAGGAGACUUCCUUCAGCCAUUAAACUAUGGUCUGGACUUCAAACUGUAGUAGUUACUUUUUCCAUAAGCACACACCAUCAAAAAAUGAACAUUCUCAACCAUGGCUGGUAGAAGCAAGAGUCCAUUGUAGAAUUUCUAUGCCGCGGCCACACCUGGGUGCAAACUGACAGGUGGGCAAGCCCAGAGCACAUCUGCUCUACGGAAGAAGAAGAAACCAAGUCAUGUCAAAUACACUGUAAGCACAGGCGUCACGGGACCUCCCUCUCCUUCUCCCUGCCCCUAUACACACUAAGGGAGGUCCUCUAGCCUCAAAAAUGGGGGUUCCUCCCUCUAAGGAUGGUAGAUCAAUGGUAUCACCCCUCACAGAUAUGGAGGUGCUAAAACAUGAAUGAUUUUUCAAUAAUAUUUCUUCUCCCUGUCCCUCAGGAAGCAUCUCUGCUCACACCACGACUGAAUGGACACGUGAAUCUAGCACAUACAGUCGGAGGCCCGCAGAACCGGGAUGGUCAUGUAUCCCAGCCUAUGCCAGUUGUCCCAGCAUCAGUGUUACUAGCAUUAUCUUCCACUCUCAAAAGUGUUCCAGUUUGAACCCUAAAUGAUAUGGUCACCUCCACAGAACUGGAGCAGGGAGGGUCUUGGGUGUUCAUCUUUCCCACCAAUCUUAUCUCCUACAAGUGAGAUGGGUGUCCAGGGAGGAUCUGCCCAGGUUUAUGCUUUUGAUUUCCCCCUCCCUCUGCAGCCCUUCCCAUGCCCUCCUGUCUCCGUGAGGGAGGGAGGACCACCCGCGCAUCCUGCACGCCAGGCCCAUAUUGACGCCUGAUGCUUUUGCCUCCAUUCAGAUCUCGUCUUUCUGUGAACCUGAGGCUCAUUUCAAUUUUUCAAGGCAGGACCACAACAAGCUCUGCAUCUGCCUGCACACAAAGCCGAAAUCACAGUGCUUGGGUGGUGGGGACCCUUUUCCCUGAAAAAGAAGAAGUCAGAUCAUUUCUUAAGGUCUCUCCCAGCCUUAGAACCUGUGAUUCAUAAGAAACUGGCUGAAGCUUUUGGUUUGUCAAUAUACUCAUGAACCAAUUUACCAGAGUGGUUGCCAUCCAUUUCUUUGAAAAAAUUAGCACCUUGUGAAUUUUCAUUAGAUGAAUGAGAGUACCUAUCUUACAUAUCAGAGAUGUUUAUUAUAUAGUAAUAAUAAAGGUAGCUAAGAACUUACAUUGUAUUUACAAAAUGCCAGGCACUGUACUAAGCACAUUACAUAUAUUGGUCCUUAUAACAAUCCUAUAAGGUAGGUACAAUGAAUACCUCCCCAUUGAACAGGUAGGUAAAUCAAGGUACAGAAUUGUUAUGUCACGCAGCUAGAAUGCAAGCAAGUGGAACAUGAACUCAGGCAGUCUGGCUCCGGAGUUGGCCUUUUCACCACCCUGCUAUCCAGUUUCUCCAAAUAUCUAUGUAAAUAUAUGUUCAGCAUUCCUAACCGAAAUAAUCAGCAGGCCAGUCAAAUCUCAGCUGUAAAACACUUGAAGUUCACAGAGCAAGUCACUAUUUACAUCUAGGAGGGCAUUUCACCUCCGCUUUAUAGACCCCUUUACCGAUAUCACUCAGCAUUGUAAAACAACAGGUGUGUUGAGGUGCUCUGUCAAAACAGGUGUUUCUGUGUGCUGUGUUUACACUUAUUUAACCCAGGGUGUCUGGGCACAAUUGCUAUUUAUUUCUUAGUUAUACGGAAUCUUCCACAGGGAGCUCGUAUGAAAAGAGGUGUGAGGUGGGAAAAGAGGUGAGCAGCGGCCCUACCUCAGGACCUUUGGCUGGGCUUGUACACUACCCCGGCGACUGCUCACUGGACUCACCUGUCCCAGGCAUCCUCCACACUUUCUUUUCCAGUCUUCCAGAAGGACCAGUGAUCUGCCUACUGGCCUUUUUUCCCCUUCCAUCUGCUUCCCAGCAGUGGAACCUGCCUGCUUAAAUCUUACUUAUUAACUAUACAUAGAUAUGGCAGACUGCGAUUACAGUAGAAUUGUUUGGGAGCUCAGUAUCUUGCCUCUUCCCACGUACCUUACCCUGGGAAUUGCUUUGUACUUGCAUAUUGCCAUGUGGUGGUGUGUCUUUAAUAACCAUCAAUAAAGAUAGGCCUGGGAAAACACAGACAGCCACAGACUCCUCUAAAUUCACCUGACUGCACAGAACAGAGCUGUCUGGAGAGGUAUCCCGGCUACCCAGAGGUGGUCACCAGGAGUGGUCAAAGUAAACCCACCCCCUUUGAUUCAGCAGCCAGAGAGAAUUUAGAAGAAUAGGCUCACCCUCUGAGGGUUCCUUGAAUCCAAUAAAACCUGUUCUUAAGUCUGAGUUCAUUUAUGGAUUUAUUCUCCAAAUAUUUGAGAGUGACGGUUCUGUGAAAAGUAUUCGCCUAAUACCACGAGGUGUUUCAUAGCUUCUUUAUCAGAAAAGCAAUAGAGAUCAAGGAUGUGGGAAGGAAGGGGAAUUUUUUUUUUGAGACAGGGUCUAGCUCUGUCAUCUAGGCUGGAGUGCAGUGGCACGAUCUUGGCUCACUGCAGCCUUCACCUCCCAGGUUCAAGUGAUCCUCCCACCUCAGCUUCUCAAGUAGCUGGGACUACAGGCACAUACCAUCAUGCCCAGCUAAUUUUCGUAUUUUUUUUGUGGAGAGAUGGGAUUUUGCCAUGUUGCCUGGGCUGGCCUUGAAAUCCUGGGCGCAAGUGAUCCACCCACCUAGGCCUCCCAAAGUGCUGGGAUUACAGGCGUGAGCCACCGCACCCAGCUGGGAAAUUUUUAUAAUAUAAGCCUGGGGUGUCACACUCUGCACAGAUUAAUAGCAUUUGAAUAGCAGGCAGGGAUGGAAGUAAUUGUCAAAAUAGGUAGGUAAUUUUGCCUUGCAUGUAGUAGGUGCUCAAGAAUAUUUAUCGAGUGGAAUUAAGUUAAACAGACAAUUAGAAAUUGGAUGGUCUUAGCCACUGACUAUACUGUCUGUCAUCAGUGCAGGUUCACUCAAUACAAAGAAAAUGAGCUGGGAUUCUACCCCUCCAUCCAGGUGACAGGUGGUGCUAGAUGCCGAGUCUAGGUCUGCCCCAGGUGCCAGGGCUUUGAGGGCAGGGAAGGAGAUGAAUAGCCACCCAUAACAAGGAGAUCAAAUACUUGAACUUGAGUACUGGGGUGCUUCCAUGACUGUGAGAGCCUAUUGAAAUAAAGGUCACAGCUGGAUACAUGUAUGAUAUAUGCACAGCGUGGCAACCUCCUCCAGGAGCCAGCAACAUGCUGGGACUUUAUUAGGAGACCUCCCAUCAGGUAAGGUGAGCCUGGCACACACCAGCACGCUGCAAGAGAACCCGCUCUCCCUGAGUCCUCUCAGAUUUCAACCAAAGCUGGUCUGUGGAAGUCCAAGUCCGCAAAAGGACAGACUCCUUUUCCCUACUAAACAUAAUGUCAAUACACCGAGUGAGGCUGAGGGAAUCCAAAAAUGAGCUCUGUCAUGUAGACAGUUGCCCACAGUAGUUAAGGAACUAUGGAGAUUCAUGCUCGGUCCUUUCUCUGAAGCUCUGAGGAUUCAGUGUACUGCCUCACCCUUUGUUCUGAGCCACUGUCCCCCGACCUCCUGCCCUGGACCAUCACCCCUAGACUGAGUAGCAGGGUAUGGUCCCCCUAAGUCCGCAGUCCUGGUCAUCAUCUCCAAACAACCCACAACUUUUCCAGCCUAUGGGAUUACAUAUACA
Molecule: long non-coding RNA, 4824 nt
Filed under: Homo sapiens (human)
Lineage: Eukaryota; Metazoa; Chordata; Mammalia; Primates; Hominidae
Description: long non-coding RNA NONHSAT195175.1
Source: RNAcentral